GGGUUUUGCCUCUGAAGCUGGAAGGUUUUCGCGAGGCGCGGUGGCGGCGGCUCCACCUGCUGGCUCCGUCCGCCUGGCGGCGAAACUUCUGUGUCUGGGAGCGGUUUUUUCCUCUUGUAACUUUAGCCCAGGCAGCGUAGGAAAGGCUUAUGAAGGAGAGAUAUGGAAGGUGAGGAACUAGGAAUUUCACUGGAAGCACGUGAGAAAUGGAGAGGACUGUAUGUACCGUCUUGUGCUCUUAAUGCACGCUUCGUCCGCCUUGCAAGACCUAGCGCUUCGAAGAGCUCUCUACUGAGGAGAAACUGAGCUGUGAGAAGAGUGAUAAAGGGGACACAAAGGAGACAGGAACUUUGGAGACUCUGGAAAACCUGACAGGUUGGAGAAGUACAAGAAAGAGCACUCUGGAUGCAUUUUGCAGUUUGAACUCAAGGAUCGAAGACUGACAUCAAGGCGGUUGUUUGAGGCAUCCAAGUGAUACUGACACCUGUCCAGUCUCUCAUUAAACAGUUUUGUGAAAGUUUCUAAAUUCUAACAUGAGAUUCCAAGGAUGCAUCUUGCCACCAUCAGGGCUGCCACCUGAGAUUCGCCUUUGGAGCCACAAAAGGACAGGAUAAGAACCAGAGGUGAAUUACCAGUUUGAGGGAGAGAAAUCUACAGGAUCAGGAAGAAAGCAGAGGUGACUAAAUGGAGAUGGGUGGGAGUUUCUGUAGUUUCUGUUGCCUCUUGACUAGGUCUGCUCUCCCAUGGUGAACAUUCAUAUUUAGGUGACAUAUUUAAGCACGCUAUAUUUAAGGCAGGGAUAGUCUGUGAUCUAACAUACUAGUAUAGGAAAAGAAAUUAACAUGAACUGAGUGCUGACUGUAUGCCAGCUGCUGAGUUAGGUGCCUUACAUAUGUAAUAUGAUUUGAUUAUCCCCAUACCUAUUUAUACUAGAUGUUAUUGCAGAGAGUAGGAAUAGAGGGGUUAAAUAACUUGCCUAAAGUCAUAGAAGUAAUAAAUGACAGAGCUAAGGCUUGAAGAAUAGCUAGCUGCUUUAUUACUCCAUCUCCUAGUAAAUUCUAUUUUAUGCAACCUGGUGAUGAACCACUUUUACCUUGGCAGUGUUGAUUGCAGCUCCAUAGCCAGUUGAAAAUCCACAUCCAAACAGACAAGCUCUCUCUAAAUUUACAUCAUCAUCGAUUUUGGCAAGAUUUAUAUCUGACACUACAGUGUACUGAGUGAAGGUACUGGUCCCCAUGAAAUGGUAAAUUGGUUUUCCUUUGCAGGUAAACCUGCUGGUUUUGUCUUCCAUUAGUUCUUGAUCAACAAUAGGAUUUUUGACUAGACUAGAAAAUAAAAAAAAUUAAAAAUUAAAAAAAACAAGAUAAUAAAGAGAGAACAUAAAUAGACCACUGGUUACAUUACUGAAAAAACAGUUAAGUGUUAUAUAUUUGUUAUGACACUUUUAUGAGAUAGAAAAAUUGAGAAAAUGACUUGAGUCUUUUCACCUAAAUAUAUAGUCAGAAGUACUCUAAAGUUAAUAAUGAUAAUAAACUUUUUAUUGAAUAUUUUUUAUGUGCCAGAAACUCUCUUGAGGGUUUGUAUGUAAUAAUUCUUAGAAAAAAACUUAUGGAAACUCAACUGUACAUAAAUGGAGAAAUACUAGCCUUUUGAAUGCCUGUGCAAUUAUAUCCCAGCUUUAGCAGUUAUCAACUCAGGGCUGUUCUUCUGGCAUCUUUUACUCCCCCAACCCCCACCUCAAGGCUCACUCUUCCCCAGCACCUACCCUCCCCAAUGGGAUGGUUUCGAAGUAAACCCCACUCAUUACUGUUUCAUUUGUAAAUAUUUUAUUAUGUAUCUCAAAGAGAUUCUUUUAGGUUGAGAUAUUGCAUUUAGUUGACGUGUGUUAUCUCUUUUAAUUGAUAGGUUCUCACCUCCCUCCUUGUUUUUUUCUUUGAAAUUUAUUUGUUGAAGAAACAGUCAUUUGUUCUGUACAGUUUUUCCAUUCUGAAUUUUCCUGAUUACAUUCCUAUAAUUGGGUGUAACACAUUUUCCCAUCCCUGUAUUUCCUCUUAACUAGUAUUUUCAAUCUAACUGGUUGAUUUAAUUUAGGUUUUAUAUUUUUGUAGGAAUAUUUCAAAGGUGGUGCUGUGAAUUUUCAUCUGGAGGUACAUAAUACCUUAUUAUCUCUCUUUUUGUGGAGUUAGAAAUAAUUGAUGGUCAUUGCCAAAAUCUAUUAUUUUAUUUAAAGUUUGCAAAGGGUUGUAUUAAUGCUUUAACUAUCUAUAAUAACCCUGUGAAGUAAGCAUUAUUAUUAUUCCCAUCUUAUAGAUGAGGAAAUUGAGGCACAGUAAUUAGAUGUAAGAGUAGUACAAUUUUAGCUUCUGAAAUAACUAGCUUCAAUCGACAUUAAAGAAUAAUAUGGGGAUCCCUGGGUGGCGCAGCGGUUUGGCGCCUGCCUUUGGCCCAGGGCGCGAUCCUGGAGACCCGGGAUCGAAUCCCACAUCGGGCUCCCGGUGCA
Canis lupus familiaris (dog) is the source of this 2500-nucleotide long non-coding RNA. RefSeq lists it as uncharacterized. The record is from RefSeq and is a predicted model, not a curated record. The transcript has 3 exons. NCBI's taxonomy places the organism in Eukaryota, Metazoa, Chordata, Mammalia, Carnivora, Canidae.